CAAUCUCAUAGCGGACUCCCCGGUGUUGCCCUUAUGAUCUCCCCACUCCCUCUUCAGUGUUCUGUGAGCCUUAGGUGUGGGACUUGUUUUGUAAAUGUAUCUACCGGGACUGACUGCACUCCACACCCUGACACUCUUUCCUCUACUUUUACUCAGAAUAUUUAUUUUGAAAUUCUCAUUUUAUUUCACAGGAUGGAUAUCCCAUUGAGUACUUAUUCACCUACUGAUAUAUGUUUGAGUUGUGUCCAGUUUCUUGCGCAUCAUAAUAAAGCCGUGUGUAAACCCAUGGUUAUGCUGGGUGUCCCCCAAAUGCAGACCGUACACCAAAGGAGCCCUAGAUAUUCUGUUCAUGCUGAUGUCUUACCUGAGGAUCUGGAAACCUGCUUUCCUGAAGCUUCUCUCGCCAUUCCCAGAUGUUAUCCUUGUUCAGCCACACAAUGAGAUGUCACAGACAUCUACUCUUUGACCAAGAGAAUGAGUUUUUGCUGAGAAAGAAGCCUAAUGAGAAGAGUGGGAAGGUCACUUCUGCUUUACUGGUGGAUUUGGACUGUCUCCAUGCUUCAACUGGGCUCUCCUGUGGUCACGUUUACUUCUUGCUGUGACUGAAAUAUCCCAAAGAACAACCUCAAGGAGAAAGGACUUAUUUGGGUUCACAGUUUCAGAGCAUUCAGUCCAUGGUUGUCUGACCCCAUGUGUUUGGGACGAACAUCAAGGGAUGGUUAGAGUACUGGGAGCACAGGGGAAAGUUGUUGACCUUGUAAACAGGGAGCAGAGAGUAAGACAAGAUUGGGGUGGGGAUGGGGCAUGGGAUAGGGCCAGGGAAAAUGCAACCAUGCUGCAAAUGGCUUACUUUCUUCAUCUAAGCCCCACACCCUUAAGUUUCCAUAACAUCACCAAAUAAUGUCAGCAAAUGGGGACCAAGCAUUAGACACAUGUACCUGUGUGGGAUAUGUAAACCAUAUCCAACCCUGUCAGACAUAUGGGUAAUACACCUCACAGGAGCAUCUAUUUUUAUGUAUGAUUGUCGUUAAGGCUCCAGUUAGGACCUAUUGAGAUUUUCUUACUCUCCUCCCUUAUAGAUAGAAUUAUGCAAUCAUCCCAUGCCCUGUUCUCAUGAGCAACAUCAGGCAUUCCUUACGAAGUUGGUCUGUAAAUCAAAAGCCUGGCAAUGGUUUUAGGGAUUUCCUAGAUAGCUUGUUGGGCCAGGCAGGAGAUUCAGCAGUCCAUCCUCCACGAGCUUCUCUUGGUUAUUUCAAAGAGACUUCAGUGCUGAUGGUGAAAUGUCUGUGAGAAAUUUCUAUGUGUAAGGCACACUCCUCAGAAUCAUAAAGGGACAUAGAGAAGGACAGCGAAAGCCCUUGACUUCAGCACAUUAUGACCAGGAAUCCAGGUCACAAACAUGAAAUUAAACAAUGAACUAAGGGUCUUGUAUGAACACAAAGAGCAAAGUCCCAGAGAUGUUCCAGAGCAGGGUGUAGUUAAGAAUUGGGUUAACUCAACAUACCUAACCUUUUCUAGGAAAACGAAGGCAUCUACUACCGUCUAACACAGCCUUUGUAUUCAUUCUCUCUCAAAGGCAAAGCCAGAUUUUAUGUCCCACCCUAUGGAAUUCAUGAUUUGUUUUCCAGCCAAAACACAGAAACAGAGCGGUGCUUAUUAUUUUAUUUAUCCAAACAAAGAGUUGAUGCAACUAGAUUAGAUAGUUUAAUUUCCUAGGAAAAGUUUCACUGAGUCACUGAGCCAUAUAGAACAGCACACUGCUGUGUGUCUUAAGAAGUCCAGAAACAACACGUAGUGGCAAAAUCAUAAAAUAAAAUAAAAUAAAAUAAAAAUAAUAAAAUAAUA
RNAcentral lists this long non-coding RNA (1845 nucleotides) under Mus spicilegus (steppe mouse). RNAcentral describes it as "lncRNA (ENSMSIG00000003456.1)". Lineage: Eukaryota; Metazoa; Chordata; Mammalia; Rodentia; Muridae. The record is from RNAcentral.